This 73-nucleotide transfer RNA is filed under the name Bacillus cereus. Its description in RNAcentral is "tRNA-Val". The record is from RNAcentral. Lineage: Bacteria; Bacillati; Bacillota; Bacilli; Caryophanales; Bacillaceae.
GAUCCCGUAGCUCAGCAGGGAGAGCGCCACCUUGACAGGGUGGAGGUUGCUGGUUCGAGGCCAGUCGGGGUCA